Molecule: ribosomal RNA, 739 nt
Filed under: uncultured soil bacterium
Lineage: Bacteria
Description: bacterial SSU rRNA
Rfam family: Bacterial small subunit ribosomal RNA
Source: RNAcentral
UGCAAGUCGAGCGGAUGAGGGGUGCUUGCACUCCGAUUCAGCGGCGGACGGGUGAGUAAUGCCUAGGAAUCUGCCUGGUAGUGGGGGACAACGUUUCGAAAGGAACGCUAAUACCGCAUACGUCCUACGGGAGAAAGCAGGGGACCUUCGGGCCUUGCGCUAUCAGAUGAGCCUAGGUCGGAUUAGCUAGUUGGUGGGGUAAAGGCUCACCAAGGCGACGAUCCGUAACUGGUCUGAGAGGAUGAUCAGUCACACUGGAACUGAGACACGGUCCAGACUCCUACGGGAGGCAGCAGUGGGGAAUAUUGGACAAUGGGCGAAAGCCUGAUCCAGCCAUGCCGCGUGUGUGAAGAAGGUCUUCGGAUUGUAAAGCACUUUAAGUUGGGAGGAAGGGCAUUAACCUAAUACGUUAGUGUUUUGACGUUACCGACAGAAUAAGCACCGGCUAACUUCGUGCCAGCAGCCGCGGUAAUACGAAGGGUGCAAGCGUUAAUCGGAAUUACUGGGCGUAAAGCGCGCGUAGGUGGUUCAGCAAGUUGGAUGUGAAAGCCCCGGGCUCAACCUGGGAACUGCAUCCAAAACUACUGAGCUAGAGUAUGGUAGAGGGUGGUGGGAUUUCCUGUGUAGCGGUGAAAUGCGUAGAUAUAGGAAGGAACACCAGUGGCGAAGGCGACCACCUGGACUGAUACUGACACUGAGGUGUGAAAGCGUGGGGGAGCAAACAGGAUUAGAUACCCUG